AAUUUACAGACUGGCGUAGCUGUGCCUGAAAAUGGCUUGGGAACGGCGUAGCUGCGCCCAAGCUCUACCCUCAUUUUAAUAGACCAACGCAGCUGCGUUGGUCUCAGGCCUUAAAGUGGCGCAGCUGCGCCACUUCGUCUUUAGCCCAGAAUCAGCUCCGCUCUUACAUAACCUAUCCAAUUCAAUCCAAAAUGAAUUCUAGAUACUUUCUUAUGGUAUUUAAUCAUCAGAAACAUAGUUUUCAACUUCAAUUACAUAAUAUAAUCCAAGCCCAAGCAAUGAAUCAAAAUCCUAUGUUUUUGAAAAACUUUUACUGUGAAAACUAAAUUCUUCAAUCAUGU
Molecule: long non-coding RNA, 341 nt
Filed under: Panax ginseng (ginseng)
Lineage: Eukaryota; Viridiplantae; Streptophyta; Magnoliopsida; Apiales; Araliaceae
Description: long non-coding RNA (PGIN_LNC000504)
Source: RNAcentral